This is a long non-coding RNA of Macadamia integrifolia, 3100 nucleotides long. RefSeq lists it as uncharacterized. NCBI's taxonomy places the organism in Eukaryota, Viridiplantae, Streptophyta, Magnoliopsida, Proteales, Proteaceae. The transcript is spliced from 2 exons. The record is from RefSeq and is a predicted model, not a curated record.
UUUAUACAAGGUAUAUGUAGCUUACUAAGUAAUGUUAGAAAAUAGGGAAAAUAAAAAAUUUAUUCAUCCAAAAAAAAAAUUUAAUAACAAUUAGUCGCCUUCUCGCUUAAGCGCUUAGACAAACCUCCAACGCCUUGGUUCGACUUGGCGCCAUGACAACUAUGAAGAAUGGGGAGAAUGCUUGAGUGAUCUGACUGAUCAUAUAAGCCUUUAUUUAUAAUAUGCAAAAUAGAGUCAUGAUAGGAGUACAAGACAAAACAUACCCAAAUUACAAGUAUACCCCUCCCCAUCCAGCUGCCCCACUCUAAAUAGGGUCAGUGGAGGGGGAAAGCCCCAAUGUGCCCCUGCGGCACACUUAACCCCUAUUCUAACAGGAACCCAUGGCCAUAACCUAUCUCUCAAACCGGGUCCUACAAAAUAAAUGGGACCAAUUAUCUUACAUUAUACCGGGCAUGCCUUCUUAGUAUCCAGCAUAAUAAUUUCUAGGGUAUCUGACUGGCCACACCCCAAAGCCUACUAAGGCUACUGCUGGCAGCACUUGAUCAGCCAAUGAUGCCCUUAUUAUGUCAUUUCUCCUAAACACCAUGGAGCCUGCAAUCAACGCCAAAUUUGUCUUACUAAACUCUAUGAAGGAAUUACGUUAUGUAGUUAAGCAAACCUAUGCACAACCAAGCAAUUAUGGCUAGAUCUAUGAACUUCAUCACCAAGUUAAUGAGACCACUCAAAAAGGAGUUGUCACUUCCUGCUUACUACUUUACUCUUAAUACUCUGGCAAUCAUUGGACUUCUGCCACCUUGUUCCCAUGGCCUGUACUGUUGAUGCUAGAGCUUUUCAGAAGGAGCGCAAGAUGGAAAGAGUAUGAUUCCUUACUAACUUGAAUCCAGAGGAUGUAUCUGAGUCCAGGUUCGUAGUAGAGAUAAAUUCCCUACACUGCUCCAGGCUUAUAAUUUGGUUCAACAUGAGGAACGUCGCCGCUUUGUUAUGAUGCAUUGUAUUGCCCCUACUCGAUAUCGGAUCUUGUUACUACUACUUAGGUUCUCCAAAACAUGGACCAUCUUAGUUCUAUCACUAAACCUGAUACUCCUGCAAAAGAAUCAGCAAAGUGUAAUUAUUGUAGGCAUCCUUGCCACACCAAAGAGACUUUUGGAAGCUUCAUGGUAGCCCUAAAGGGGGGCGUGGUGGGAACAAGGGCCUUCCCUCUCUAAGCUCAUCUCUCUGAGAUGACUGAAAAUUCAUCCUCCACUCCUACACCUCCAUUCUCUUUGGAACAGAUAGUUGCUCUCCAGCACAUAAUGACAGCUUGGUACAGAAACCUCUCCCAGUGACUCUUCAACUACACAUCUCUUCACUUCACAUCUAGCCCAAUCAGGUAUAUUUCAUGUUUGUUCUAGUUCUAGUCCUUCUUGGCUCCUUGAUUCCGGGGCCUUCGAUCAUAUGACUAGCUCCUCAUAUAUGUUUCGUAACUAUCUCCCUUGUUUGAGUUGCCGAUGGGUCCCUGUCUGCUAUUUCUGGUAAAGGUUUUGUUUCUCUCUCCUACUAUAUCCUUGUCAUUUGUUCUCCAUGUCCCUAACAUUUAUGCUAAUUACUUUCCAUCGAUUGAUGUAGAUCGAAACAUUAAGAAAAUAAGGCCAAAACACUGUUCACGCGAACAAUGUCCUAGCGCAUAUUUGUCACAUAAAGGAAUGCUUCUAGAAGAUUUUGUGGGUCUCAAGGACAGAUUUCGUGAAAGAGGAAUAGUUUGUUUUCUUUUUUUAAUUAGUUUCUAUUUCGUUAAGUCUUGGACAGCAAGCUAUCGAUGGAGACUUCUAGAAUACUUUCUUCGUCCAAAGGAUUGUUUCCUUUAAGCCUUAUUUCCUUUUUGGUUUUAUUUACCUUCAGUUAUUUAUUAUUGUACAAGGAACAAAGGAAGAUCUCUCUCGCUAGAGACUUUCUUUUCUUAUUUGUCUACUUUUUCAUGUAACCUUCUAUUUUGGAGGCGAGGCUCAUGCCUAUAUAAUGUAACGACCCAUGAAAGGUCCCCCAGGAUUUAAUGAAUAACGAAUUUAUUUGCUUUGUGCAAUGGGAAGCUGUGAGAGACAGUAAGGUGAGAUACCCUUGGCUUAGAUAGCCCUCCCCCUUUCUUCCCUUUUUCUCUUCUCUAAUUGAUCCCUUGUCUGAGUUUAUUUUUCUGGUCUUCUGUGAUCCAUCAAACCCUCCAUAGAAGCUGCUGAUUUCACUCAUUGAAGUCACCAUUGAAUGACCAAAACACUGCUGGAUCUUGUUGCAAAUCAGAGGAGACAUUCAUCAUCUGCAGCUCCUCUUUCUUGAGGUUUCCUGCUGAAACCUUCAAGAGUGUCGAUCUCAGCAGCCUGUGACCUAUUGAGGCUGAUCUUUUGGGAUUCUAUUUCCCCUCCAAGGAACCCUACUCGAUGGUGAUUUGGAGUGGUCCUGAGCCUUGAUGAUAUUAGCUCCAGAAAUCUCCUAUUUCAUCCCUAAAUCAAGAAUCUGCCAAUCUCCAGAUUUAACUAUCAGUUUCGUCUGAUAUUUUGAGGAUUGAAUCCUUCCACCCAUACCUAAGUUCAAUGCGCUAUUGUGAUGAGGCAGCAAUCAGUAUAGCUAUAACCCAUUCCAGAACGACAAGGACCAAGCAUAUUGAGAUUACUAGACAAUUCAUUGAGGAGAAGCUUGAAGAAUGAUCAAUUUGCAUUCCAUUUGUCACUUCUAAGAAUCAAUUAGCUGAUGCAUUCACAAAGAGUUUGACUUCUAAGUUAUUCUAUCCUAUUGUAAGUUGGGCAUGAGGAAUAUCCAUGUACCAACUUGAGGGUGAGUCUUUAGGACAAGGGUUAUGACUAGAAUUAUGAUACAAACUGUGACUCAGCCUUAGUUGUCUUGCCUCAAUUGUAAUCAUUGUAAUCCUUGUACAAAAAAGGGCGUACCUGGUGCAUGAGGCUCCCACAUGUGCGAGGUCCGGGGGACGAGAACUAUGCAGCAGCCUUACCCCGAGAAUGUCGAGAGGCUAUUUCGACCGCUUGACCACCAGGUCGCAACAUUGUAAUCCUUGUAUCCUUUUUAUAAAUAAAAAAGGACUUUGUCAUUCUAGACAAGCCGAAUCAUUCUUCUA